Long non-coding RNA from Chinchilla lanigera (long-tailed chinchilla), 275 nucleotides. RefSeq lists it as uncharacterized. Lineage: Eukaryota; Metazoa; Chordata; Mammalia; Rodentia; Chinchillidae. The record is from RefSeq and is a predicted model, not a curated record. The transcript is spliced from 3 exons.
AUGAAAGUGCACAUUAAAGAAAAAUAGGAAAGCAAAAGGAGUAAAAACAUGAUCUUUUUACCAGUGUCCUGUCAGGAGCAAGAAUUAGAGAAAGACACAACCCAGGUUGUAGAUAAGAAUAAGAGCACAGAUGCCGGUUCAGAUAUGUGACCGUCACUACCUUCAGUGUCUGAGGGUAACAAGUAGUGUCCUGAAGCCAGCUCAUAGUGGAUGAUAACAGCUGCUGGUUCAGUUUUCAGGAAUUUGUGAGCAAUUACUAACACAGCUAUUACUAA